GGACGAACGCUGGCGGCGUGCCCAAUACAUGCAAGUCGAACGGUCUUUUCUAUGGAAGCUUGCUUCCACUGAAAAGAUAGUGGCGAACGGGUGAGUAACACGUGGGUAACCCUGCCCAUAAGAGGGGGAUAACAUCCGGAAACGGGUGCUAAUACCGCAUAGUUUUCUUGAUCGCAUGAUCGGGAAAGGAAAGACGGCCUUUGUGCUGUCGCUUAUGGAUGGACCCGCGGCGUAUUAGUUAGUUGGUGAGGUAACGGCUCACCAAGACGAUGAUACGUAGCCGACCUGAGAGGGUGAUCGGCCACAUUGGGACUGAGACACGGCCCAAACUCCUACGGGAGGCAGCAGUAGGGAAUCUUCCGCAAUGGACGAAAGUCUGACGGAGCAACGCCGCGUGAGUGAAGAAAAGGUUUUCGGAUCGUAAAACUCUGUUGUCAGAGAAGAACAAGUUGGAGAGUAACUGCUCCAGCCUUGACGGUAUCUGACCAGAAAGCCACGGCUAACUACGUGCCAGCAGCCGC
This 521-nucleotide ribosomal RNA is filed under the name uncultured bacterium. Its description in RNAcentral is "bacterial SSU rRNA". It matches the Rfam family "Bacterial small subunit ribosomal RNA", at positions 27 to 518 of the family's 1533-position model. The record is from RNAcentral.